This 620-nucleotide long non-coding RNA is filed under the name Prunus dulcis (almond). RNAcentral describes it as "sRNA ncRNA". Lineage: Eukaryota; Viridiplantae; Streptophyta; Magnoliopsida; Rosales; Rosaceae. The record is from RNAcentral.
AUGGCAAUUCAAGAGAAGCCCAAGAAACCACCAUCCCACGGCAAAGGGAAGAAGUUGGAGACCCUCCGCUUGGUGCUAUGCACACCACCUCCAUCUUCUUGUCAACAAAACCCUACGGGGCCAACAAAAUCUGAUGCUCACCAUCAACGGCAACACUGGGAUGAUGAAGAGAAAUUGGAGAAUAGCAAGCGAAAGCUUCACCAAGGCUAUCAAGAGUUCCAAAACAAGAGAAAGAAAAUUCAACGUCUUGACGUCAAGAACUUGCCUUUGCCGUCUAAGCCUCAGCGAGGCCGGGUUUUGAGCGAGAACAAGCCGUUGAUCAGUUCGAGGAAGCGCCCAGAGCCUCUGAUUUUUCGAAGAGCCAACAAAACCCUAAGGAGCUCACAAAAUCCACUUAUCAUGAUCUCCAUCAUCGGCAAGAUUGGGAUGAUGAAGAGAAGUUGGAGACUAGUGUUCGAAAGCUUCACCAAGGCUAUCAAGAGUUCCAAAACAAGCGAAAGAAAAUUCAAGUUAUCGACAUCAAGAACUUGCCUUUGCCGUCUAAGCCUGGACGAGGUCGGGUUUUGACAAAGAACAAGUUUCUGAGUCUGACCAGCUCCAGGAAUUGCCGAGCCUUCUGA